GUGCCAGACAAGAAUGGCCUGCUAGGAGACCCAGCCAGCUCCCAGGGCCUUUCUGCUGCUUCCUCUACCCCUGUAUUUCACUCAGCUCUCCGAAUUGACUCAGCUCCAGGUUGCCACCAGAAGCCCCAUCCAGACACCAUGGAGAAGACGGAGCAUCAUAUGCAGACCCUGAACUUUGUGCUGCUGUUGCUGCUGCUGCAGCUGCAUUGACCUCAUGAGUUUUGGGGUUGCCUGUCCGGGUCUUGGGUUUGCCUCCCUGGGGAAAGUGUAAGUGUGUUCUGUGUAAGAGAGGAAGAACAGAUCAUUUGUGACCAGAAGGAAAGACUGUGGAGGACACUGGUUAGCUAGUCUCCAAAAACCACUUCCUUUUUCUCCCAGGCCCACUGCUACACUAUGCUUCCCAGGCUUCUUUACAGCUGCCAUAAUAUGUGUCUCUGCUCUGACCAAUGAAAUGUGGGCACCAGGCCUGGUACAUUAAGCCUCUGACUCAUGACCUUCUGUGCCCUCUCUUCCAAUGGCUACACUGGAGAUGACUAGGACAAUCUUAGGAGUCAGUGUGAAGAUGGUUGAUCCAAAGAUGGAGAAAUCUGGGUCCCUGAAAACCUGAGUCCCUGAGGGUGGAGAAAGGCCACCCUCUAGAAGCAACUGCAUUUGACUACUAACUGAGCAAAAAAUAAAUCAGCUUUAACCAUAUUAAACCCCUGAGAUUUGGGAGUUUAUUGCUAGGUUACCCUAAUCUAUAUACAAGCAGAAUGAAAAGCACGGGCAAAGACAGGAAGAUUGGAAUUCAUGACAUAGCCUGACGAGAGUGAGGACUUCUCUAGACAUGAGGGACAGAGUGACAGAAGAUGAGCUUGAAGGAUUCCUUUGGGAAAAUUCCUGCAGGUCUUGAAUGCCAUGCAAAGAUUUGGACUUUAUUCUACAGAAAAUGGGGACCACUUAAAAAAAGUGUUUUUUCUUCUAUUUAAAACUGCUAUAGUAAAUGCUGCCAGUAAUCUGCUCUUCUAAAGUAACUAAAAAUCCAAACUUUCACAUAUUAUUGCCCCCCCAAAAUUGAAAAUGUGAAAAAUGUAAUCACCAGGCUGACAACAGCUUUUGCAGUCUGUUAAAGCUGCAACUCGUAUCAAAUGAGUCCUGCCAAAUUCAUUGAGAAAUCAGUAACUAUCAGAGAAAAACUCCCAACAUGUAAUAUCUGCCUCUUCAUGAAACUGUGUGUGUGUGUGUGUGUGUGUGUGUGUGUGUGUGCAUGUGUAUAUCAGAGAGAUAUAUAUUUUUUCAGGUAAUAAAUGGUAUUCAUGCAACAAAACAAAAUCUGAAAUGGGGCUUCAAUUAAGGCCACAUUUACCAAACUUGUUCUGUGUGACAGGUGUUCUGAUAGGUGCCUAUGAUAGAAAAAUAAAUGAUCAACCAGGACUUCAAAUCACUCCCAGAUUAAUGCAAGAGGUAGGCACAUAAACAGGUUAACCAUAAGGGCACAUGCUACUAUAAAAAUAGGACUCACUAGAUCUAUGGAGGUUAGGAGAGAAUCCAAGAUGACUGAACUUUCUUAACCUGAUCCUGAAGAUCAUUCUUGAUCGGAUCCAACCUACCUUUGCAGGCUGAAAUUCCAUUACUUUUCUUCACACGAUUUCUUGCUCUUAGACCUAUCCUGCACUUUUGCACUUCCAUGCUUUGUCCUCUGCCUCGAAUUCUCUCCCUGACCUAUCACUAACCCCUGUUUACAGUGCCACUAAGAUUCCACUCAGGAAAUCUUCCCUGGUUCCAGUGGGAUGUAUCUUUUCCCUUCUUUAGAGUCUCUUCUUUUCUCUGUGUCCUGAGGAAGUUACCACUUUCUGCUUUGCAUCAUAGUUAUUUUCUGACUUGCUGGUCUUGUCUGAUCUCUACACUAAACCAUAAGCUCCCUGAAGACCAGGAGUGUUUCUAUUCCUUUCUUAUACUUCUGGUAUCAAGUAUAGCAAUUUGUAGGUACAUGGUGGAUGUUCAGUAAGUAUUUUCUGAAUGUCGGAAUGUAAAACUCAAAAGCCACUGGAGACACUGAAUCUACACACAACACUGCAACCCUCUCCUUGGCCAAGAGCUUCAUUGUUGGGUGAUAUAUGAUGUUUUCCUGGGAAAGGAAGGAGGGCAAUUUUGUAAGAGAAUUAAGUGAGGGUGCACAAGGAAAGUAAAAAUAGUGCUACAUUCCUGGUUCCAAAUAGUGUGUAGUUGUAUAACAAAAAUUAAAACUGUCCAAUAAGCCAAUAUCUUAGCUUAUUGAUUAAAAGAGAUUGAAAGCUCCAAAUCUUCUUUAUUGCAAAACAAUCUUUUAUAAAAGAAUCUCUAUUAACAUCAUGUCAGCAUUCUCUUACAAAAUCCAGCAAGGGGAAAAUGGGGAGUUGCCUCCCUUUCUAAUAUCAACACCAUUAAUAAACAGUAUUAACAUUCGGGCAGCUGAAUGGGGAAGAAAUAUUGACUAUCUGUAAUGUUCCCACAUUGGUGCUUUAAGAGUUCUGGAAGCUAAAACAUAGACAAAUCAGCAUUACUCAGUAGAGAAGGGCCAAAGCCAAAAGUAGAAAAGAUCAAUGUUUAUAAAAUAUUGAAGUAAACCAAAUUUGUUUACUAAGAUCUGGAAUAUAAUAAAGAAGGAGAAAUACAUUUGACAUUUAAAUGAGGACAAAUUUAGGGAAAAUAAAAAUACGUACAAAUUUUGUCUCAUUUGGGUAAACUUUAGGUUUUAGUUAACUAAGACAAGAGCAAACCAGAAUGAAAAGAUAAAUAAAUCCAUAAUGUCUCCAUAAAAAUUUAUUGAAAGUAGACUUUUGGGGGAGUGAUCCUGAAUCAGUUAGGUUCUAGGGCCUAGAGGCCACUGCAAUUAUUACAAGACCUGGAAAUACAUACUCACAUCGAGCCUUGUCUAUGGAUUGUACACAUGAUAUGCCUAACUCAUAUGUUCUACCAGUUGACAUGAACACAUAGAUACUUUACUGAUGAGUAACAGAAUGUCAGCAGGUUAGGGAAGCCAGGCAGGCUAAUCUCCCAGGGACACACUCUGUGGUAGAAGCUGUCAGAGGGAGGGAGGGGCCUUACUUUCUGGGGGGGCACAUAAUCAAUGACAGGGGUCACGGUAGGAGCAUGGGCUUUGAAAGGCCCUGAGUAGAAGAGAGAGGGGUAGAGCCAGUAAGACAGCCUAAGGCUGUAUGGAAAGCAAUGGAACCUCUCAGGGCUUCAGGAAAAUUUCCACAAUCAUAAAAUUCUGUAUAUGGUUAAAUUUUUUGUGGAAAAUGGUUAAAAGGCUGAGCUUCUGGAUUUGACACAGGGCUCCUCCCAGACAGAAAAAAAAAAGUGGGAAUAAAGCAAAAUAUAAGGAAUUAGAGGGGGAAACUCAAAGAAAAACUAACAGCACUUUGCAUGCUACAGCAUUAUAAGGCUCUGGAAAUGGAGUUCCAGCCAAAUUUCACCUGAGGUGAAUGGGGACCUUGAGUAAUACUUUAGUUUCUCUGUUGUUGUUGCUUUUGUUUUUGAGACAGGGUCUCCCUCUGUCACCAAGGCUGGAGUGCAGUGAUGUAAUCUCAGUUCACUGCAGCCUCAACCUCCCAGGGUCAAGCAAUCCUCCAGCCUCUCAGCCUCUCAAGUAGAUAAGACUACUGGCAUGUGUCACAACUGGCUAAUUUUUGUAUUUUUUGUAGAGAUGGGGUCUCACUAUAUUGCCUAGGCUGGUGUCAAACUCCUGGACCCAAGGGGUCCACCCACCUCGGCCUCCCAAAGUGCUGGGAUUAUAGGUGUGAGCUACCAAGCCCAGCUGUUGUUUAAGAGACAUGAUCUCACUCUGUGGAGAUCCUUCUGCCUCAGCCUCUUGAGUCGCUGGGACUACAGACGCAUGCCACCACACCUGGCUAAUUAUUUUUUUAAUUUUUGUAGAGAUAGGGUCUUGCUAUGUUGCCCAGGCUGGUCUUAAGCUCCUGGCCUCAAGCAAUCCUCCCACCUCAGCCCACCUAGUGGCUGGGAUUACAGGCAUGAACCACAGCACUCAGCCUUAGUUUCUUAAAUAAAUUCACUUUAAAAUGUUCCUGAAAUCUUGGAAGCUUUUUUCCACUAUUUGUUUUCAGUUGAUGGAAUAAUUUUUCAGUUGAUUCCAUUUCAGUUGAUGGAAUAAUUUUUAAUGGUUUACAUUUUAAAACAUUUUCAUAUUAUAAGCAUUAAGAACCAGCCGGGCACACUGACUCACACCUGUAAUCCCAGCACUUUGGGAAGCCAAGGCGGGUGGAUCACCUGAGGUCAGGAGUUUGAGAUCAGCCUGGCCAACAUAGCAAAUCCCCUUCUCUACUAAAAAUACAAAAAAUUAGCUGGGUGUGGUGGCAGGUGCCUGUAAUCCCAGCUACUUGGGAGGGUGAGACAGGAGAAUUGCUUGAGCCUGGGAGGCAGAGGUUGCAUUGAGCCAAGAUCACGCCAUUGCACUCCAGCCUGGGUGACAGAGCGAGAAUCUGAAAAAAAAAAAAAAAGUUAAGAGCCAUUAUUUUGAGAGUAUUAGCAUAUUAUGGUUGAUGUCAAGAAUACAAAAUUGUUAGCCUCAUCAGGGAAGGCUGAGCUGAGUCCCCUGCAGGCCAUGGUCUUUAAGGAGAGCAUCCAUCUACUACAUCCCGACCCCACGUGCUAUUGAGUGAAUAGAAUGCUGACAACAAGGAAGGCCCAGAAUGGGUGUAAAUGGUCACACCUUUCAUCAAAAUUAAUGCUUUCCUUUCCUUGCUGUACCUAAUUUAAUCCCCAAAC
RNAcentral lists this long non-coding RNA (4746 nucleotides) under Homo sapiens (human). RNAcentral's name for it is "HSALNT0009254". The record is from RNAcentral. Lineage: Eukaryota; Metazoa; Chordata; Mammalia; Primates; Hominidae.